Molecule: RNA transcript, 1279 nt
Organism: Brassica oleracea var. oleracea
Lineage: Eukaryota; Viridiplantae; Streptophyta; Magnoliopsida; Brassicales; Brassicaceae
Exons: 4
Source: RefSeq, a predicted model, not a curated record
UGGCCGUUCUUGCGACAACGGAGUUUCAAUUAGGUUAAGGAGGACGACUUUUUCUGGUCAAUCUCCAGCGUAAGCCGUUGUAGUGUCGAACCGAUAGGAUUUCUUUUCUCUUGCAAUGGAAAAUCAGCAACGUAACGGAACUCAAACCGGAUUCAAUCAAUGUCAUUAAAGUUUUCCUUAACUUCAUCUCCCCCACUCCUUCCAUGAUUCUUCAGCUCCCACCUAGCUUCCAGUCGGUGAAACUACAUAUAUAAAUAGCUGAGUCUUGAUUCCGUAAACCUCAUCAUUUUAUUCUUCACAUCAUAUAAACUCUAAAAACUUUUGUAGAGCACAAUGGAAAAGUCCUCUCGCCUGUGAGCUCUUGCAGGAAGCCCGAGACUUCACGGCGGAAGAUAAUCGUCGAAAAGGAGUGUGGCACAGUAGGAGGAAGAAAGCGGCGGCGAUGGAGGAGAGAAAGAGGAUGAAAGUGGUUAAGAAUAAAGAGAAAGCCAUUGAUGAUAGUGAGGAAAGGUAUUAAUGGUGGGUUGGACGGAGGUUUCUGCAUAAAGGAUGAAUUGAAGUUGGAAGUGCAGGAUCUACUGUCCGAUGGUUUCAGAUUGCUUUCUUUGCAAUUGGGGAAGCUUGAAGAUCAUCAACCACCAUCCCUACUUCAAAUGGAGUUACAAAACGUAGACAUAUUCUCAGGUAUUGAUUCCUUAAACCUCCACAUUCUUCAUUCAUUCCUAUUGUCGGAGAGUAGUCGUCGAUAGGUGCACAGGAGGUGGUGACGGUGAGAGAUCAGCUGGAGAAGAAGGAGCGAGAUCCAUGAUUAUCGAGUGAGAGGAGACAGAGCCAGAGAUUAACGACGCACAAGCAGAGACUUUGGACCUUGGAGUGAAGACCAGAUCUCCAAUCGAAAUCAAUGGUCAGAAUCGUCUCCGCUUAUGAACGACGGGGCCGAGAUUCACACGUGUAACUAACCACUGUUCCCGUAAGGAUCAAAAGCAAAAUCGAGCUUGCAAGAAAAUUCAUAGCGGUACCAGUGAGAGAGAGAGACCAGAACUCAGAGGUUUGUCCGCUUUGGGUCAAAGAUCAGAGAGAUAAUACAAUCAUUUUUUGCAAUGUGUAAUCUUUUUAUUCGUGUACAAACGUCAACUUUGCUUAAAUGAUUAUCUUUCCUAUGCCAUUAGUCGGGUUGUAUCAGUGAGGCCCAAUUUUUUUUCCUAAAAUUACAGGUGAAGCUAGACAAACAAUUUUUUUGGUUGAUGAUAUGACACUUACAAGGGAAGAAAUUGGUUUU